CCUACGGGCGGCAGCAGUGGGGAAUAUUGCGCAAUGGGCGAAAGCCUGACGCAGCGACGCCGCGUGAGGGAUGAAGGUCUUCGGAUCGUAAACCUCUGUCAGCAGGGAAGAACGGUCACUGUGCUAAUCAGCAGUGAAUUGACGGUACCUGCAAAGGAAGCACCGGCUAACUCCGUGCCAGCAGCCGCGGUAAUACGGAGGGUGCGAGCGUUAAUCGGAAUUACUGGGCGUAAAGCGCUCGUAGGCGGUAUGUCAAGUCAAGGGUGAAAUCCCCGGGCUCAACGUGGGAACUGCCUUUGAAACUGGCAAACUGGAGUGUGUGAGAGGAUAGUGGAAUUCCAGGUGUAGGAGUGAAAUGCGUAGAUAUCUGGAGGAACAUCAGUGGCGAAGGCGACUAUCUGGCACAUAACUGACGCUGAGGAGCGAAAGCGUGGGUAGCAAACAGGAUUAGAUACCCGAGUAGUC
RNAcentral lists this ribosomal RNA (465 nucleotides) under uncultured bacterium. RNAcentral describes it as "partial 16S ribosomal RNA". It matches the Rfam family "Bacterial small subunit ribosomal RNA", at positions 338 to 795 of the family's 1533-position model. The record is from RNAcentral.